This 207-nucleotide ribosomal RNA is filed under the name uncultured bacterium. RNAcentral's name for it is "partial 16S ribosomal RNA". It matches the Rfam family "Bacterial small subunit ribosomal RNA", at positions 568 to 774 of the family's 1533-position model. The record is from RNAcentral.
CGCGUAGGCGGUUGAUUAAGUCGGAUGUGAAAGCCCUGGGCUUAACCUGGGAACUGCAUUCGAUACUGUUCGACUAGAGUACGAGAGAGGGAGGUAGAAUUCCACGUGUAGCGGUGAAAUGCGUAGAUAUGUGGAGGAAUACCGGUGGCGAAGGCGGCCUCCUGGCUCGAUACUGACGCUGAGGUGCGAAGGCGUGGGGAGCAAACA